GCGGUGGUAGCUCAGCUGGUAGAGCAUCUGCCUUCCAAGCAGAAUGUCGCGAGUUCGAAUCUCGUCCGCCGCUCCA
RNAcentral lists this transfer RNA (76 nucleotides) under Chloroflexota bacterium. RNAcentral's name for it is "tRNA-Gly". It matches the Rfam family "tRNA". Rfam says of the family: Transfer RNA (tRNA) molecules are approximately 80 nucleotides in length. The record is from RNAcentral. Lineage: Bacteria; Bacillati; Chloroflexota. RNAcentral also lists the same sequence under 1 other name.